Molecule: long non-coding RNA, 573 nt
Organism: Sorex araneus (European shrew)
Lineage: Eukaryota; Metazoa; Chordata; Mammalia; Eulipotyphla; Soricidae
Exons: 4
Source: RefSeq, a predicted model, not a curated record
GUCAAAUGUGGUGGGAACGGGGACAAGACGAGGGUCCUUAGUGAAGGUGUUUGUUGUUAAAUAGAACAAUUCAGCUGUCUCUUUAGAAAACUUGACAAAAGGAAAUGCUCCCUGCUGAAAAUUUUCUUAGCCUGUUGCACAAAAGAUGAAGUUUGUUUAAGAAAUUGCUGCUAAAGAAAGCGUCAACCCAUUAAGGGAGUGCUCCUGGCUGACUCAAGGGACCAUAUGUGUUGUUGAAAAACAAACCUCGUUAGCAGCAUUCAAGACAAGGGAAAAAAAUCAAGAGAUCCAUGAUACCUUUUACUCUCAAGUUCCAGAAGAAUAAAGCACAUUCUCUGAAGAUGGAGAGAGACAGCUCUUCAUUUAUCUCCCUCAGAUUUGUUUGCCAAUAGGACAUUGUCUAGAUGCUCUUCUCAUCAAGAGGCGAUAGCCCUGCUGGGGAUGUUUGCAGCUUCAACAAAGAUUCCCAGAGUUGUGGGCCAUACUCUCAACACUGAAGUGCAUAGAACUUGGCAGAAAUCUACACUUCAGAGAUAAUAACAUAUCAUUCCAUGAAAUAAGGGAAAAGGCAUA